GUAAAACAAGUAUUUUCGUUGGGAGCUAAAUAGCAUUUUGUAAUGUGAGUCUUUUAUUUUCCAAGGCUGCUCUUAUCUGUUUUACACAGCCAACGCGUGUAUUCCUUUAACAUCGAGGAAAAGCUCUGUUGCAGCAGUUUAGUGUCUUCGAACAGGACACGAUUCGCACUAAAUAAUGGGAGUUUAAACGAAAUGCAGCAGUUCCAGUCGCUGCCUCCACAUAUCCCUUGGAG
Lepisosteus oculatus (spotted gar) is the source of this 233-nucleotide non-coding RNA. Lineage: Eukaryota; Metazoa; Chordata; Actinopteri; Semionotiformes; Lepisosteidae. The record is from RefSeq and is a predicted model, not a curated record.